UCCCUAAAUGCAUUGGCAAUCUGACCGGA
RNAcentral lists this non-coding RNA (29 nucleotides) under Bombyx mori (domestic silkworm). The record is from RNAcentral. Lineage: Eukaryota; Metazoa; Arthropoda; Insecta; Lepidoptera; Bombycidae.